UACACUCCUACGGGAGGCAGCAGUGGGGAAUUUUGGACAAUGGGCGAAAGCCUGAUCCAGCAAUGCCGCGUGAGUGAAGAAGGCCUUCGGGUUGUAAAGCUCUUUUGUCAGGGAAGAAACGGUGAAAGCUAAUAUCUUUUGCUAAUGACGGUACCUGAAGAAUAAGCACCGGCUAACUACGUGCCAGCAGCCGCGGUAAUACGUAGGGUGCAAGCGUUAAUCGGAAUUACUGGGCGUAAAGCGUGCGCAGGCGGUUUUGUAAGUCUGAUGUGAAAUCCCCGGGCUCAACCUGGGAAUUGCAUUGGAGACUGCAAGGCUAGAAUCUGGCAGAGGGGGGUAGAAUUCCACGUGUAGCAGUGAAAUGCGUAGAUAUGUGGAGGAACACCGAUGGCGAAGGCAGCCCCCUGGGUCAAGAUUGACGCUCAUGCACGAAAGCGUGGGGAGCAAACAGGAUUAGAUACCCGAGUAGUCC
RNAcentral lists this ribosomal RNA (472 nucleotides) under uncultured organism. RNAcentral's name for it is "partial 16S ribosomal RNA". It matches the Rfam family "Bacterial small subunit ribosomal RNA", at positions 332 to 796 of the family's 1533-position model. The record is from RNAcentral.